Molecule: ribosomal RNA, 440 nt
Filed under: uncultured bacterium
Lineage: Bacteria
Description: partial 16S ribosomal RNA
Rfam family: Bacterial small subunit ribosomal RNA
Source: RNAcentral
CCUACGGGUGGCAGCAGUGGGGAAUAUUGCACAAUGGGGGAAACCCUGAUGCAGCGACGCCGCGUGAGGGAAGAAGUAUUUCGGUAUGUAAAGCUCUAUCAGCAGGGAAGAAAAUGACGGUACCUGAUUAAGAAGCCCCGGCUAACUACGUGCCAGCAGCCGCGGUAAUACGUAGGGGGCAAGCGUUAUCCGGAUUUACUGGGUGUAAAGGGGGCGUAGACGGCAGAACAAGUCUGGCGUGAAAUGGCGGGGCUUAACCCCGGAACUGCUUUGGAAACUGUGCAGCUAGAGUGCUGGAGAGGUAAGCGGAAUUCCUAGUGUAGCGGUGAAAUGCGUAGAUAUUAGGAGGAACACCAGUGGCGAAGGCGGCUUACUGGACUGUAACUGACGUUGAGGCUCGAAAGCGUGGGGAGCAAACAGGAUUAGAUACCCUUGUAGUC